This 238-nucleotide ribosomal RNA is filed under the name uncultured bacterium. RNAcentral describes it as "partial 16S ribosomal RNA". It matches the Rfam family "Bacterial small subunit ribosomal RNA", at positions 15 to 256 of the family's 1533-position model. The record is from RNAcentral.
GAUCCUGGCUCAGAUUGAACGCUGGCGGCAGGCCUAACACAUGCAAGUCGAGCGGAUGAAGAGAGCUUGCUCUCUGAUUCAGCGGCGGACGGGUGAGUAAUGCCUAGGAAUCUGCCUGAUAGUGGGGGACAACGUUUCGAAAGGAACGCUAAUACCGCAUACGUCCUACGGGAGAAAGCAGGGGACCUCGGCCGUCGUCGCUAUCAGAUGAGCCUACGGUCGGGAGUUAAGUCUAGUU